Molecule: non-coding RNA, 30 nt
Filed under: Actinoplanes sp. SE50/110
Lineage: Bacteria; Bacillati; Actinomycetota; Actinomycetes; Micromonosporales; Micromonosporaceae
Source: RNAcentral
AGGUUGUCGUUGUUGAGGCUGUUGACGAAC